CUUGGGAAUGACAAAAGUCAGAGCCUUCUUGGUCAGGCCAAAGGGGACCAUUGAGUCCAGGAUCCUCUUCUCCCAAUGGCCAACUAUGGACCCCAAUGGGCAAGCAGGAUUGGAGCCCCAGAGCCUCUCCCUUGACGCCGUUUCCUGCAAGUGGGAUUCAGAAGCAUCGCUGCCUCUGAUGGUGGAGGGAGAGCAGAGCCAGCCGGACUAGGAGCCAUUAGGGCUUUUUCAGCCGUGGCUCCGAUCUGGUGGAACACUCUGUCACAAGAGACCUGGGCCCUGUGGGACUUGACAUCUUUCCGCAGGGCCUGCAAGACAGAGCUGUUCCACCAGGCCUUUGGCCAGGGCACAGCCUGACUCCCUCCCUCGGCAAUCUUCGCGGAGCUCUGGCCCAAUGGUUGCCAGUGGCUUGAAUUAAUUAAUUUUAUAAUGAAUGAUUUUAGAGUGUUGUUUGUGCUGUACUUUUGUACUGUUUUAUUGUUGUUAGCCGCCCUGAGCCCGGCUUCGGCUGGGGAGGGCGGGAUAUAAAUAAAAUUUAUUAUUAUUAUUAUUAGAGCUUUUCCUCCAUGAAUCUGUCUAGUCCGUCUUUCAGGCCACCCAGGUUGACAUCUGAUGUCUUUCCACAGGGAGGGAGCCACUGCCAAGAAGGCCCUUUGCCUGGUACCCUGUAGCUGAAUCACCGGAGGAGGAGGACCUCAGUGUCUGGG
Non-coding RNA from Podarcis lilfordi (Lilford's wall lizard), 707 nucleotides. The record is from the annotation of a GenBank genome assembly. Lineage: Eukaryota; Metazoa; Chordata; Lepidosauria; Squamata; Lacertidae.